GAGCACUGUUUCGGCAAGGGGGUCAUCCCGACUUACCAACCCGAUGCAAACUGCGAAUACCGGAGAAUGUUAUCACGGGAGACACACGGCGGGUGCUAACGUCCGUCGUGAAGAGGGAAACAACCCAGACCGCCAGCUAAGGUCCCAAAGUCAUGGUUAAGUGGGAAACGAUGUGGGAAGGCCCAGACAGCCAGGAUGUUGGCUUAGAAGCAGCCAUCAUUUAAAGAAAGCGUAAUAGCUCACUGGUCGAGUCGGCCUGCGCGGAAGAUGUAACGGGGCUAAACCAUGCACCGAAGCUGCGGCAGCGACGCUGAUGCGUUGUUGGGUAGGGGAGCGUUCUGUAAGCCUGUGAAGGUGUGCUGUGAGGCAUGCUGGAGGUAUCAGAAGUGCGAAUGCUGACAUAAGUAACGAUAAAGCGGGUGAAAAGCCCGCUCGCCGGAAGACCAAGGGUUCCUGUCCAACGUUAAUCGGGGCAGGGUGAGUCGACCCCUAAGGCGAGGCCGAAAGGCGUAGUCGAUGGGAAACAGGUUAAUAUUCCUGUACUUGGUGUUACUGCGAAGGGGGGACGGAGAAGGCUAUGUUGGCCGGGCGACGGUUGUCCCGGUUUAAGCGUGUAGGCUGGUUUUCCAGGCAAAUCCGGAAAACUAAGGCUGAGGCGUGAUGACGAGGCACUACGGUGCUGAAGCAACAAAUGCCCUGCUUCCAGGAAAAGCCUCUAAGCAUCAGGUAACAUCAAAUCGUACCCCAAACCGACACAGGUGGUCAGGUAGAGAAUACCAAGGCGCUUGAGAGAACUCGGGUGAAGGAACUAGGCAAAAUGGUGCCGUAACUUCGGGAGAAGGCACGCUGAUAUGUAGGUGAAGUCCCUCGCGGAUGGAGCUGAAAUCAGUCGAAGAUACCAGCUGGCUGCAACUGUUUAUUAAAAACACAGCACUGUGCAAACACGAAAGUGGACGUAUACGGUGUGACGCCUGCCCGGUGCCGGAAGGUUAAUUGAUGGGGUCAGCGCAAGCGAAGCUCUUGAUCGAAGCCCCGGUAAACGGCGGCCGUAACUAUAACGGUCCUAAGGUAGCGAAAUUCCUUGUCGGGUAAGUUCCGACCUGCACGAAUGGCGUAAUGAUGGCCAGGCUGUCUCCACCCGAGACUCAGUGAAAUUGAACUCGCUGUGAAGAUGCAGUGUACCCGCGGCAAGACGGAAAGACCCCGUGAACCUUUACUAUAGCUUGACACUGAACAUUGAGCCUUGAUGUGUAGGAUAGGUGGGAGGCUUUGAAGUGUGGACGCCAGUCUGCAUGGAGCCGACCUUGAAAUACCACCCUUUAAUGUUUGAUGUUCUAACGUUGACCCGUAAUCCGGGUUGCGGACAGUGUCUGGUGGGUAGUUUGACUGGGGCGGUCUCCUCCUAAAGAGUAACGGAGGAGCACGAAGGUUGGCUAAUCCUGGUCGGACAUCAGGAGGUUAGUGCAAUGGCAUAAGCCAGCUUGACUGCGAGCGUGACGGCGCGAGCAGGUGCGAAAGCAGGUCAUAGUGAUCCGGUGGUUCUGAAUGGAAGGGCCAUCGCUCAACGGAUAAAAGGUACUCCGGGGAUAACAGGCUGAUACCGCCCAAGAGUUCAUAUCGACGGCGGUGUUUGGCACCUCGAUGUCGGCUCAUCACAUCCUGGGGCUGAAGUAGGUCCCAAGGGUAUGGCUGUUCGCCAUUUAAAGUGGUACGCGAGCUGGGUUUAGAACGUCGUGAGACAGUUCGGUCCCUAUCUGCCGUGGGCGCUGGAGAACUGAGGGGGGCUGCUCCUAGUACGAGAGGACCGGAGUGGACGCAUCACUGGUGUUCGGGUUGUCAUGCCAAUGGCACUGCCCGGUAGCUAAAUGCGGAAGAGAUAAGUGCUGAAAGCAUCUAAGCACGAAACUUGCCCCGAGAUGAGUUCUCCCUGACUCCUUGAGAGUCCUGAAGGAACGUUGAAGACGACGACGUUGAUAGGCCGGGUGUGUAAGCGCAGCGAUGCGUUGAGCUAACCGGUACUAAUGAACCGUGAGGCUUAACCUU
This 2043-nucleotide ribosomal RNA is filed under the name Escherichia coli. Its description in RNAcentral is "partial 23S ribosomal RNA". It matches the Rfam family "Bacterial large subunit ribosomal RNA", at positions 905 to 2925 of the family's 2925-position model. Lineage: Bacteria; Pseudomonadati; Pseudomonadota; Gammaproteobacteria; Enterobacterales; Enterobacteriaceae. The record is from RNAcentral.